CAACGUGCAUGUUAUGAUAAUCAAAACAGCAGGUUUGGGGAAUAUAAAAUUCGGUAGAGCGUAUCGACGGAAGAUAUUCUGGAUUUUUUUAACUGAGGUAUAAGUUUUUAAAGACGGAGAUAUCUUCGAAGAUGAUCAUUCUGAGAAAACUAUAAGAAUUAAUCUAAAGACAGGCAUCAACCAUGGCAGAGAGAUUCCCAAGCGGCAAGGAUAGCGACGAUGGUUUUGAGCUGCCCGAAGGGAGAAGGAAAGAAAUGGAAG
Molecule: long non-coding RNA, 261 nt
Organism: Mercenaria mercenaria
Lineage: Eukaryota; Metazoa; Mollusca; Bivalvia; Venerida; Veneridae
Exons: 4
Source: RefSeq, a predicted model, not a curated record